Long non-coding RNA from Spodoptera frugiperda (fall armyworm), 746 nucleotides. RefSeq lists it as uncharacterized. Lineage: Eukaryota; Metazoa; Arthropoda; Insecta; Lepidoptera; Noctuidae. The transcript is spliced from 2 exons. The record is from RefSeq and is a predicted model, not a curated record.
CUAUACAUAUAAUAAAAUCGUAGAAAAGUGCUGUCUGUACAUUGAAAAUAAAAAUAAAAAAAAUAGCAGGGGUUAUUGUUAUGUCGAUGUCGAAGCCAAAAAUGUAAUUAACUUUUUUUUUGUCUGUUUGUCUGUUUGUCUGUUUGUCUGUUUGUCUGUUCGUCUGUGCGCGCUAAUCUCAGAAACGGCUGAUCCGAGUUGGAUGCGGUUUUCACGAAUAUAUUGUGGGAUGCUUAAAUUUACAUUUAGUGUUUGUUUCAUGUCAAUCGGUUCAUAAAUAAAAAAGUUAUGUCAAAUUAAAGAAUCACGUCGAACAUUCUAUGCUUAUACCAUUAAUCUCCGCAACUAUUUGACGGAUUUGGUUGAAAUUUGGUACAGAUAUAGUUUAGAACCUUAGAAAGGACAUAGAUAUAUUUUUAUUUCAAAAAUCAAAAAAUAAAAAUAAGAAAUAAAUUAUUUAUAAAUAAUUCUAUGUCGAUCGUUACACGACUUCGGUUCAUGUUAUUGUUUUAAUUUAUCGAAAAAAAGUAAAUAAAUAGUAAAAAGGUAUGAAAAAAAUAAUAUCAAUAUAAUAAAACAUUUAGUACAAAGAAAAUGCUCUAACGGAGUAUAGAUAAUUCUAUGUCGAUCGUUACACGACUUCGGUUCAUGUUAUUGUUUUAAUUCAUCAAAAAAAAGUAAAUAAAUAGUAAAAAGGUAUGAAAAAAAUAAUAUCAAUAUAAUUAAACUUUUAGUACAAAGAAAAU